GGGUACGUAGCUCAAUUGGUAAGAGCGCCAGACUGUGGAUCUGGAUGUUGCGGGUUCAAGUCCCGUCGUGCCCCCCA
This 77-nucleotide transfer RNA is filed under the name Candidatus Pacearchaeota archaeon. RNAcentral describes it as "tRNA-His". It matches the Rfam family "tRNA". Rfam says of the family: Transfer RNA (tRNA) molecules are approximately 80 nucleotides in length. The record is from RNAcentral. Lineage: Archaea; Nanobdellati.